UUUAAUAAGUAGAAGCAUCCGCUUCUCACCUUACGCCUCAGGUUAGUAAGGUUACGAUGUACGACAUGUUAGUAACAGUGCGUCUAAAAAGCGGGUGGUUUCGCCCGCUUUUAUUUAUUUCA
Molecule: regulatory RNA element, 122 nt
Organism: Desulfotomaculum nigrificans CO-1-SRB
Lineage: Bacteria; Bacillati; Bacillota; Clostridia; Eubacteriales; Desulfotomaculaceae
Rfam family: Ribosomal protein L20 leader
About the family: This family is a putative r-protein leader autoregulatory structure found in B. subtilis and other low-GC Gram-positive bacteria. It is located in the 5' untranslated regions of mRNAs encoding initiation factor 3 followed by ribosomal proteins L35 and L20 (infC-rpmI-rplT). A Rho-independent transcription terminator structure that is probably involved in regulation is included at the 3' end.
Source: Rfam